UACGAAGGGUGCAAGCGUUGUUCGGAUUUAUUGGGCGUAGAGCGCGCGCAGGCGGAUUUGUAAGUCAGAUGUGAAAUCUCGGAGCUCAACUCCGAAACUGCGUCUGAAACUGUGAGUCUUGAAUAUCAGAGGGGGUAGGGGAAUUUCACGUGUAGGGGUAAAAUCCGUAGAGAUGUGAAGGAACACCAGUGGCGAAGGCGCCUACCUGGAUGAUUAUUGACGCUGAGGCGCGAAAGCGUGGGGAGCAAACAGG
Molecule: ribosomal RNA, 253 nt
Filed under: uncultured bacterium
Lineage: Bacteria
Description: partial 16S ribosomal RNA
Rfam family: Bacterial small subunit ribosomal RNA
Source: RNAcentral